GCCUUCUUAGCUCAGUGGUAGAGCGCGUCACUAGUAAUGACGAGGUCGCUAGUUCAAUUCUGGUAGGAGGCA
Molecule: transfer RNA, 72 nt
Filed under: Amniculicola lignicola CBS 123094
Lineage: Eukaryota; Fungi; Ascomycota; Dothideomycetes; Pleosporales; Amniculicolaceae
Rfam family: tRNA
About the family: Transfer RNA (tRNA) molecules are approximately 80 nucleotides in length. Their secondary structure includes four short double-helical elements and three loops (D, anti-codon, and T loops).
Source: Rfam by way of RNAcentral